UACGGAGGGUGCAAGCGUUAUCCGGAUUUAUUGGGUUUAAAGGGUCCGUAGGCGGGCCCGUAAGUCAGUGGUGAAAUCUCGCAGCUUAACUGCGAAACUGCCAUUGAUACUGCGGGUCUUGAGUGAAUUUGAAGUGGCUGGAAUAAGUAGUGUAGCGGUGAAAUGCAUAGAUAUUACUUAGAACACCGAUUGCGAAGGCAGGUCACUAAGAUUCAACUGACGCUGAGGGACGAAAGCGUGGGGAGCGAAC
Molecule: ribosomal RNA, 250 nt
Filed under: uncultured Chryseobacterium sp.
Lineage: Bacteria; Pseudomonadati; Bacteroidota; Flavobacteriia; Flavobacteriales; Weeksellaceae
Description: partial 16S ribosomal RNA
Rfam family: Bacterial small subunit ribosomal RNA
Source: RNAcentral